Non-coding RNA from Daucus carota subsp. sativus, 230 nucleotides. Lineage: Eukaryota; Viridiplantae; Streptophyta; Magnoliopsida; Apiales; Apiaceae. The record is from Rfam.
AAAAUCUACCUGCUAUGCAUCCUUGAUUCCUAAGGAGGCAGGUCACCAAGUCUGGUGGAUGACAAAAUAAGGAGGCAGGUCACCAAGUCUGGUGGAUGACAAAAGGACUGCUUGACCAGAGCGUGAUUAACAGCUCUUUCUGGUCUCUGUGCACCAUCAAGAGCAGUAGAUGAUCGUUCUCAGCCUGGGUUCCUCCUGGCUGGGGUGGUCAAGCAGUUGUCUGACAGACC